UUGUGCAUUUUGCCAUGCCAUGCUUCAUUAAACCGGGUAUGCAUCAUACUUGAUUGUGCAUCAUGCCAUGCGUAUGUGAUGGUUGAUUACUUUGUUGUUUGGUUCUUUCCGGUGUUGCUUCUUCGGGUUGGUUCCGAGAACGUCGUGUUUGUGAGGAUCCGUUCGACUAUGUCCGUUUGCCUUCUUCAUGGACUCAUUCUUCUUCCUUGCGGGAUCUCAGGCAAGAUGACCAUACCCUCGAAAUCACUUCUAUCUUUGCUUGCUUAGUUGCUCGCUCUUUUGCUAUGCCUAUGCUGCGAUACCUACCACUUGCUUAUCAUGCCACCCAUAUUGUUGAACCAAGCCUCUAACCCACCUUGUCCUAGCAAACCGUUGUUUGGCUAUGUUACCGCUUUGCUCAGCCCCUCUUGUAGCGUUGUUAGUUGCAGGUGAAGAUUGAAGUUUGUUCCUUGUUGGAACAUGGAGAUGUUGUUCCUUGUUGGAACAUGAUUAUUUUGUUGGGAUAUCACAAUAUCUAUUAUUUAAUUAAUGCAUCUAUAUACUUGGUAAAGGGUGGAAGGCUCGGCCUUAUGCCUGGUGUUUUGUUCCACUCUUGCCGCCCUAGUUUUCGUCAUAUCGGUGUUAUGUUCCCGGAUUUUUGCGUUCCUUACGCGGUUGGGUCAUAAUGGGAACCCCUUGACAGUUCGCCUUGAAUCAAACUCCUCCAGCAUGGCCCAACCUUGGUUUUACCAUUUGCCACCUAGCCUUUUUCCCUUGGGAGUCGCACAUCCCGAGGGUCAUCUUUAUUUUAACCCCCCCGGGACAGUGCUUGUCUAAGUGUUGGUCCAAACUAGAGCCACUUGUGGCGCCACCUCAGGGAAACUUAAGGGCUGGUUUUAGCUAUACGUAGUGUUCAUCCGGUGUUGCCCUGAGAACGAGAUAUGUGCAGCUCCUAUCAGGAUGUCGGCGCAUCGGGCGGUCUUGCUGGACUUGUUUUACCAUUGUCGAGGAUGUCUUGUAACCGGGAUUCCGAAUAUGAUCGGGUCUUCCCUCUAGAAGAAAUAUCCUUCGUUGACCGUGAGAGCUUGUGAUGGGCUAAGUUGGGACACCCCUGCAGGGAUAUGAUCUUUCGAAAGCCGUGCCCGCGGUUAUGGGCAGAUGGGAAUUUUUUAACAUCCGGUUGUAGAAAACCUGAAGUUGACCUUAAUUAAAAUACAUCAACCGCGUGUGUAACCGUGAUGGUCUCUUCCGGCGGAGUCCGGGAAGUGAACACGGUGUUGGAGUUAUGCUUGAUGUAGGUUGUUCUAGGAUCACUUCUUGAUCAUACUUUUAUCGACCGUGCUUUGCCUUCUAUUCUCGCUCUCAUUUUCGUAUGUUAGCCACCAUAUAUGCUAGUCGCUUGCUGCAGCUCCACCUCAUACCUUUACCUUACCCAUAAGCUUAAAUAGUCUUGAUCGCGAGGGUGUGAGAUUGCUGAGUCCUCGUGACUCACAGAUACUUCCAAAACCAGUUUGCAGGUGCCGAUGUUUCUGAGCAGGUGACGCAAGCAAGCUCAAGGAGGAGCUCGAUGAAGAUCUUGUCCUUUAUGUUGUUUCGUUUCCAGUUGAUCAGUAGUGGUACCUAGUUGGGGUCGAUCGGGGAUCUGUGUAGCAUUUGGGUAGUCUUCUUUUAUUUUGGGUUCCGUAGUCGGACCUUGAUUGUAUCUGGUUGAUGUAAUGCUUUAUUCAUGUAAUUGUGUGAAGUGGCGAUUGUAAGCCAUCUAUGUAUCUCUUUCCCUUAUGUAUUACAUGGGUUGUGUGAAGAUUACCUCACUUCCG
RNAcentral lists this long non-coding RNA (1796 nucleotides) under Triticum aestivum (bread wheat). RNAcentral's name for it is "long non-coding RNA (TAES_LNC020964)". The record is from RNAcentral. Lineage: Eukaryota; Viridiplantae; Streptophyta; Magnoliopsida; Poales; Poaceae.